GGGUUUUCAAAUAAAAAAGACAACGGGGAGCCUUCAAAGAAAUGGUUGAGGAAGCAGUGGAAAAAUCAGCAAGCGAUUAAGAGUUGGUGGAAGUCCUUUGACCUUAGGAAUGCCAUCAUGAACCUCAGGGCAGCCAAUACCUGCGGAAGCACACAGACUCCUAGAGGUAGAAUCACUUGGUUAAAAGAUGUGAAUAGUUUAAAAAGUAAUAAACCAAAAUGUGUGGCCUGGCCGGCGUGGUGCAGUGGUUGAGUGUCGACCUAUGAACCAGGAGGUCAUGGUUCAAUUCCCAGUCAGGGCACAUGCCCGGGUUGUGGGCUCGAUCCCCAUUGUGGGGCAUGCAGGCGACAGCUGAUCAAUGUUUCUCUCUCCUCAUUGAUGUUUCUGUCUCUCUCUCCCUCUUUCUUUCUCUCUGAAAUCAAUAAAAAUAUAUUUAAAAAAUUAACACGAAGACAAGUUUGUCCCAAAGAAAAUGGUCAAGGUCUUUGGUAAUAGUGCUGUACAAAUGGUACCAGAGUAGUAACUGUGUGAUGUAUAGGGGUGGACCAUUGUCCGUUUUUACAUCCGUGGAUAAUUAUUAUUUUUAUGAGAAAAGUUCAUACAGUUUGAUUCUUUCCUAAAUGAUUAUAAAGAAAUAAUUUCUUUACCCAAUUUACUAUUCUGUUUUUCCUUUUACAUGGUUUUGAGUGACAUCAGUUUUCAAAUGGCUUUGUAAACAACCAUUCUCGGGAACAGUAGCUAUUAAAUUGGUUUGAAAGCUGCUUGACAAUGAUGAAAAAAAAAAAAAAUUACUUCCCAAAGGCCUGGAGUGAGACCGCCGAUUUUUGUGCCAGGGGAAGGCCAGUUCUUACCGCAAGAAUUUCCCGGUAACCUUUCAUGAUUGAAAACAUAUUACUUGCUAUUCAAAAGCACAGGCAAAUUAGUGAGGAGCAUUUCUAAAAUAAGCUCAAGGGUUAGACAUGUAAUUUGAGGAUGACACAUCAUGAUGGUAAAGUGUGUUUCCUUCUGUGUUUUGUUUUAAGCUGUAGAAAGUGCACGCAACGCCACAGUCCGGUCUUCAGUGUGUUUUCACAGCUGUACGAUGAGCACACUUGAUUGUUAAGGGACUGCUUGUUCCAGGUGUAUACGUCUUACUACCUAAUGUUUACUUCUAACAGUGCGUUCCCUCUCCUAUGUCAUAAUAUAUAUUUACAUAACUUCGGUGCAUGGAAAUGUUAGGGAACUUGGUAUUGUCUUUGAAAUGGUCAUCUAAGAGCCUCUUUAUUACAGGGCUAUUCCCUUAAAGCAUAUGUUUUAAGGAACAGAUAGGCCUUUGGGGACUUUGGUGUUGAAUGAGCCCAAUGACACAUCUUUACAGUGAGGGCAUGGGAGACUGUGGUUAGAUAGCACCUGCACCCAUAGUUCAAACUGCAGGCAGUCACUGACUGACACCACCCUAAACAAGAGUGUUCUGUCGGGAGCGAACCCAUUUUAGGCCCAGCAUGACUGUCAGGGAGCUAACGACAGAGGACAGUGACUCGUCAAGCAAAGCAGACCUCUGCAACAUCCGGAACAUUCCGUUUCCUUGAUCCCUCUGAGACGCGACUGCCACGGAACCACUUGUUUUCUUAUAGGAAUGUAGAGAGAGAGAUAAGCCCCACUGGUGCGGCUCAGUGGUUGAGUGUCGACCUAUGAACCAGGAGUUCACAGUUCGAUUCCCGGUCAGGGCACAUGCCUGGGUUGAGGGCUUGAUCCUCAGUAGGGGGUGUGCAGGAGGCAGCUGAUCAAUGAUUCUCUGUCAUCAUUGAUGUUUCUAUCACGCUUUCCCUCUUCCUUCCUCUCUGAAAUCAAUAAAAAAAUAUAUUUUUUUAAAAAAAGAGAAAUGAAUUAACUUUCUGUGUAACUUUUUACUUUGACGUACUUUAAAAUGUCUGAAAAGGUACAGGAAUUCCCAUACACUUUUCGCUCAGAUUCACCCAUAGUUUGGCAUUUGCUCUAUCAUCUCCUCCUCUGUAUUAGAGAGUAACUGCAGACAUCAAGCCCCUUUACCCCUCAUGCGUCAGUGUUCACUUCCUAAGGACAAGGAGAACCUCUUACAUAACCACAGGACAGAUCUCAGAAGCAGGAAAUUUUACUUUGAUUAGAUAGUAGUCUUGUACCAAAGUCCAUACUUAGGUUUUGCCAAUUGCCUCCAAUAAUGUCUUUUAUAGCAGUGUACUUCCUGGUCCAGGAUCCAUAUCAUAUCUCUUUGAUCUCAUUUAAUCUUAAACGAAUGACCUGUUUUAAGUGAAAUGGAGGGAGACACACUUUUCAUUGCAUGCUUUUAUUGCAUGCAUAUCAACUUUAGCAUCUUCUCUGAAACAGAAAGUUGGAUUUUUUUUUAUAGCAGGUACCACGUAGGACAUACUUGAACUUCAUGGCUUAUCAGUUGCUACCUUUUCCAGUUUCUUUCUGACCAGGCGACCAUUGGUCCUUACUCAGUCUUGCUGUAUAGGCACUGUUGUGUGCAGACUACACUACCAAGCUUUCUUUUGUUCAAGCCUGUCUUUCCUAGCCUGCGAUAGCUGCUCUUUCAUCCCAUGGGAAUGUUGAGUGUAGGUUCUGCUGAGACAGUUCCAAAGUAUGUCCUGCAGCUUAUCUUUAGCUGAGGAAAGAGGACAAGUGGCCACCGUCCUUUUGCUCAAGGCCAGCGGUUCACUCACUUUCUCUUCACUAGGCUAUAAUUAUUCUCUGGAGUACGUGGACAAACAGCAUAUGCUUGUGAUUUCAAAAGCACUCCUAACCUUCCUCAUGUUUGUUCCGUUGAAAAUUGCAUCGCAGCCUGGCCAGCGUGGCUCAGUGGUUGAGUGUCGACCUAGGCACCAGGAAGUCACAGUUCGAUUCUCAAUUAGGGCACAUGCCUGCGUUGUGGGCUCGAUCCCCAGUGAGGGGCAUGCAGGGGGCAGCUGAUCAAUGAUUCUCUCUCAUCAUUGAUGCUUCUAUUUCUCCCUCCUCCCUUCCUCUCUGAAAUCAAUAAAAAUAUAUUAU
Myotis daubentonii (Daubenton's bat) is the source of this 3006-nucleotide long non-coding RNA. RefSeq lists it as uncharacterized. The record is from RefSeq and is a predicted model, not a curated record. Lineage: Eukaryota; Metazoa; Chordata; Mammalia; Chiroptera; Vespertilionidae.